GAGGUGAGCAGGAGUUGCGCUU
This 22-nucleotide microRNA is filed under the name Murid gammaherpesvirus 4 (Murine herpesvirus 68). RNAcentral's name for it is "mghv-miR-M1-3-3p". Its record names the gene mghv-miR-M1-3-3p. The record is from miRBase by way of RNAcentral. Lineage: Duplodnaviria; Heunggongvirae; Peploviricota; Herviviricetes; Herpesvirales; Orthoherpesviridae.